UACGAAGGGUGCAAGCGUUACUCGGAAUUACUGGGCGUAAAGCGUGCGUAGGUGGUGAGUUAAGUCUGUCGUGAAAGCCCCCGGCUCAACUGGGGAGGGUCAUUCGAUACUGAUCGACUCGAAGGCAGGAGAGGGUAGUGGAAUUCCCGGUGUAGUGGUGAAAUGCGUAGAUAUCGGGAGGAACACCAGUGGCGAAGGCGACUACCUGGCCUGUUCUUGACGCUGAGGCGCGAAAGCUAGGGGAGCAAACGGG
RNAcentral lists this ribosomal RNA (253 nucleotides) under uncultured bacterium. RNAcentral describes it as "partial 16S ribosomal RNA". It matches the Rfam family "Bacterial small subunit ribosomal RNA", at positions 524 to 776 of the family's 1533-position model. The record is from RNAcentral.